RNAcentral lists this ribosomal RNA (205 nucleotides) under uncultured bacterium. RNAcentral's name for it is "partial 16S ribosomal RNA". It matches the Rfam family "Bacterial small subunit ribosomal RNA", at positions 568 to 774 of the family's 1533-position model. The record is from RNAcentral.
CGCGCAGGCGGCGAUUUAAACAGGAUGUGAAAGGCUACGGCUCAACCGUAGACAUGCACCCUGAACUGGGUCACUUGAGUAUUGGAGAGGCAGGCAGAAUUCCUGGUGUAGCGGUGAAAUGCGUAGAUAUCAGGAGGAAUACCGGAGGCGAAGGCGGCCUGCUGGACAAAUACUGACGCUGAGGCGCGAAAGCUGGGAGCAAACA